GAUGAAGAACGCAGCGAAAUGCGAUAAGUAAUGUGAAUUGCAGAAUUCAGUGAAUCAUCGAAUCUUUGAACGCACAUUGCGCCCGCCAGUAUUCUGGCGGGCAUGCCUGUUCGAGCGUCAUUUCAACCAUCAAGCCCCAGGCUUGUGUUGGGGACCUGCGGCUGCCGCAUGCCCUGAAAACCAGUGGCGGGCUCGCUGUCACACCGGGCGUAGUAGAUUUUAUCUCGCUCAGGGCGUGCUGCGGGUUCCGGCCGUUAAAAAGCCUUUUUUACCCAAGGUUGACCUCGGAUCAGGUAGGAAGACCCGCUGAACUUAAGCAUAUCAAUAAGCGGAGGA
RNAcentral lists this unclassified non-coding RNA (336 nucleotides) under soil metagenome. RNAcentral describes it as "partial contains 5.8S ribosomal RNA, internal transcribed spacer 2, and large subunit ribosomal RNA". The stretch from base 1 to 120 matches the Rfam family "5.8S ribosomal RNA", at positions 35 to 154 of the family's 154-position model. The record is from RNAcentral.